CCUACGGGUGGCAGCAGUAGGGAAUAUUGCUCAAUGGGCGCAAGCCUGAAGCAGCAACGCCGCGUGGAGGAUGAAGGUUUUCGGGUUGUAAACUCCUUUUGUUAGGGAAGAAAAGUGCGGUAUCCAUCCAGUUUCCAAUGGCUAACACCGUGACAGCAGCCGCGGUAAUACGGCGGGUGCAAGCGUUACUCGGAAUCACUGGGCGUAAAGGGUACGUAGGCGGGAUGGUAAGUCAGAUGUGAAAUCCUUGGGCUUAACCAGAGAACUGCAGUUGAAACUGGAAGUCUAGAGUAUGGUAGAGGUAGGUGGAAUUCGUGGUGUAGCGGUAAAAUGCGUAGAGAUCAAGAGGAAUACUGAUUGCGAAGGCGGCCUGCUAGACCAUGACUGACGCUGAUGCGCGAAAGCGUGGGGAGCAAACAGGAUUAGAUACCCCUGUAGUC
RNAcentral lists this ribosomal RNA (440 nucleotides) under uncultured bacterium. RNAcentral describes it as "partial 16S ribosomal RNA". It matches the Rfam family "Bacterial small subunit ribosomal RNA", at positions 338 to 795 of the family's 1533-position model. The record is from RNAcentral.